This 250-nucleotide ribosomal RNA is filed under the name uncultured bacterium. RNAcentral describes it as "partial 16S ribosomal RNA". It matches the Rfam family "Bacterial small subunit ribosomal RNA", at positions 806 to 1058 of the family's 1533-position model. The record is from RNAcentral.
ACGAUGGAUACUAGGAGUUGGCAAAAAUAUUGUCGGUUCCGCAGUUAACGCAUUAAGUAUCCCACCUGGGGAGUACGACCGCAAGGUUAAAACUCAAAGGAAUUGACGGGGGCCCGCACAAGCAGUGGAGUAUGUGGUUUAAUUCGAAGCAACGCGAAGAACCUUACCAGGGCUUGACAUAUACAGGAAUAUAUAAGAGAUUAUAUAGCUCUACGGAGUCUGUAUACAGGUGGUGCAUGGCUGUCGUCAG